UACGUAGGGUGCAAGCGCUGUCCGGAAUUAUUGGGCGUAAAGAGCUCGUAGGCGGUCUGUUGCGUCGGCUGUGAAAACCCGGGGCUCAACUCCGGGCCUGCAGCCGAUACGGGCAGACUAGAGUUCGGCAGGGGAGACUGGAAUUCCUGGUGUAGCGGUGAAAUGCGCAGAUAUCAGGAGGAACACCGGUGGCGAAGGCGGGUCUCUGGGCCGAUACUGACGCUGAGGAGCGAAAGCGUGGGGAGCGAACAGG
RNAcentral lists this ribosomal RNA (253 nucleotides) under uncultured bacterium. RNAcentral's name for it is "partial 16S ribosomal RNA". It matches the Rfam family "Bacterial small subunit ribosomal RNA", at positions 524 to 776 of the family's 1533-position model. The record is from RNAcentral.